Molecule: transfer RNA, 74 nt
Filed under: Candidatus Bathyarchaeota archaeon
Lineage: Archaea; Thermoproteati; Candidatus Bathyarchaeota
Also listed under: 1 other name
Description: tRNA-Thr
Rfam family: tRNA
About the family: Transfer RNA (tRNA) molecules are approximately 80 nucleotides in length.
Source: RNAcentral
GCCCCAGUAGCUCAGCUGGUUAGAGCGCCUCCUUGGUAAGGAGGAGGUCGCGAGUUCAAAUCUCGCCUGGGGCU